GUAAAUGCUAGAGCUAAUACAUGCAAACCAAGUCCCGACCAGCGAUGGAGAGGACGCUUUUAUUGGAUCAAAUCCAUUCGCCCGGCUCGCCGGGCGUGUGCUUGAUGACUCUAGAUAACACCACAGAUCGUACGGUCUAAGUACCGGUGACGUAUCCUUCAAAUGUCUGACUUAUCAGCUGUCGAUGGUAGACUCUGUGUCUACCAUGGCGCUCACGGGUGACGGGGAAUCAGGGUUCGAUUCCGGAGAGGGAGCCUGAGAAACGGCUACCACAUCCAAGGAAGGCAGCAGGCACGCAAAUUACCCACUCCCGGCACGGGGAGGUAGUGACAAAAAAUAACGAUACGGGACUCAUCCGAGGCCCCGUAAUCGGAAUGAGAACAUCCUAAAUCCUUUAACGAGGAUCUAUUGGAGGGCAAGUCUGGUGCCAGCAGCCGCGGUAAUUCCAGCUCCAAUAGCGUAUAUUAAAGUUGUUGCGGUUAAAAAGCUCGUAGUUGGUUCUGCGUGCCACGCUGUCGGUUCACCGCCUGUCGGUGCAACUGGCAUGCCGUGGUAUGUCCUGUCGGUGGCGUAUAGGCUUCGCGGCGCUCCCUACACGAUACGUUGUGUAGGUCGUCGCGUCUGCCCUGUGCGCCGGCUCAAUCCUACCGCGGUGCUCUUCAUCGAGUGUCGAGGUAGGCCGACACAUUUUACUUUGAACAAAUUAGAGUGCUUAAAGCAGGCUCUUAAAUCAGCCUGAAUAGUGGUGCAUGGAAUAAUGGAACAGGACCUUGGUUCUAUUUUGUUGGUUUUAGGAAUCCAAGGUAAUGAUCAAUAAGGACAGGCGGGGGCAUUCGUAUUGCGACGUUAGAGGUGAAAUUCUUGGAUCGUCGCAAGACGCACUAGAGCGAAA
This 892-nucleotide ribosomal RNA is filed under the name Euscopus rufipes. Its description in RNAcentral is "SSU rRNA". It matches the Rfam family "Eukaryotic small subunit ribosomal RNA", at positions 151 to 950 of the family's 1831-position model. The record is from RNAcentral. Lineage: Eukaryota; Metazoa; Arthropoda; Insecta; Hemiptera; Pyrrhocoridae.